This 55-nucleotide transfer RNA is filed under the name Camelus ferus (Wild Bactrian camel). It matches the Rfam family "tRNA", at positions 9 to 63 of the family's 71-position model. From Rfam's summary of the family: Transfer RNA (tRNA) molecules are approximately 80 nucleotides in length. Their secondary structure includes four short double-helical elements and three loops (D, anti-codon, and T loops). The record is from Rfam by way of RNAcentral. Lineage: Eukaryota; Metazoa; Chordata; Mammalia; Artiodactyla; Camelidae.
AGCUCAGUGUAGAGCAUGUGCUUAGCAUGCACAAGGUCCUGGGUUCAAUCCCUAG